CUGAACUUAAGCAUAUCCAUAAGCGGAGGA
This 30-nucleotide ribosomal RNA is filed under the name Thanatephorus cucumeris. RNAcentral's name for it is "partial 28S ribosomal RNA". Lineage: Eukaryota; Fungi; Basidiomycota; Agaricomycetes; Cantharellales; Ceratobasidiaceae. The record is from RNAcentral.